GAGGACCGUAUUCAUGGAAGAGGAUCGAACAGACUACUGAGUUCUUAUGAGAAAAAUGGCUCUUAAGAAAUUGAAGGUGAUACCAAAGGAAAGUUACUUAUUACUUUUGGACUUUGAUGAUGAGGACGAUGAUAUAAAAGUUUCAGAGGAGGCUCUUUCGGAAGUAAAGAGCCCAGCAUUUGAUAAAAAUGAGAAUAUAUCGCCUCAAGCAGAAGCAGAUGAAGAUAUGGGAGAUGAAGUAGACAGUAUGUUGGAUAAAUCUGAAGUAAACAACCCAGCAAUUGGUAAAGAUGAAAAUAUAUCGCCUCAAGUAAAAGGACAUGAAGACAGGGGACAUGAAAUAGGCAGUAUGUUGGAUAAAUCUGGAGGUCUCUGCUAAGAAAAACUGAGAACUUCACUAUGACAUUUAUAAGACGCUUCACAUAAAGAGAAAAUGGAUGGAAACUUAUGUCAAAGAAUCUUUCAAAGGCAGGAACCAGAAAUUAGAAAGAUUUUGCAAAAUGAACGAACGAGAGAGGAAGAACAUCAACAACAAAUUUUGUGAGCAGUAUAUAACUACAUUUCAGAAGUCUUAUAUGGAUGUACAGAAAUUCAAUGAGGAAAAAGAAAAAUCAGUGAAUAGUUGUCAAAAAGAACAACAAGCAUUGAAACUGUCCAAAUGUAGUCAGAACCAGACCCUGGAAGCAGGUAAAGAAAUGCAUGAGAAGUCCAUGGAGCUGCAUCAUUGGACUCAAACUGAAUGGUCCAUGUGUUGCCACUGAUGUGAGCCAUU
RNAcentral lists this long non-coding RNA (772 nucleotides) under Mus musculus (house mouse). RNAcentral describes it as "predicted gene, 21679". The record is from RNAcentral. Lineage: Eukaryota; Metazoa; Chordata; Mammalia; Rodentia; Muridae.